ACAGGGUCAGGACCUCCUCUUGGUGGAUGAGAGGAUUCAUCCUUGGGAAAGCUGAGCUCUAAAGGGUCUCAGUCAGAUUUGGGGCAGGGGUAGGGGUUGGCAGGUAGGGGAAGAGUGUUGCGAGGAAGGAAGGAUGCAGCAGGUGUUUGCUAGUAGAGCCGCGGAAAAACAUGGUCCCUUCAAGAAUUUAAGCAGGGUCAGUAUUGUAUCCAGGAUGAGAGGAGCAUGGGCAGGAUGGAGCUCAAGAUAGGUGGACAGGAACUGUAUCCCGGAGCACUGGGAAGCUGUGUUAACAUGCUUGAAUUUUUUUAAAUUUUGCUUAUCAUACAAUCCACCCUUAGUGUAUAUGACUCGAUGAGUUUUAGGUAAAGUUAACCAUCACCAUAAAUCAGUUUUAGAGCAUCUCAUUACUCCAUUAAAAUCCUUCAUGCACAUUUUUACGAGGAUGUACUUAUUUAUUUUAGAGAUGAAGUAUCUCUGUGUCCCAGGCUGGAGUGCAGGGACACAGUCAUAGCUCAGUGCAGCCUUGAACUCCCAGGCUCAAGCAAUCCUCCUGCCUCAGCCUCCUGAGUAGCUGGGACCACAGGCACACACCACCACAAACAGCUAGUUUUAAAAAAACAUUUUUUUUUAAGAUGAGGGCUCAUUAUGUUCUUCAUGCCCAUUUAAUCCCCUCCUCCCUGCUUUCACCCCAGCUGCCAUGGAUCUACUUUCUGUUUCCAUCAUUUUCCCUUUUCUGGAUGUUUCCUAUUGUCACACAAUAUGCAGUCUCUUGUGUCUGGCUUCUUUUCACCAGAGGAGCUUGAAUUUUAAUCUGAAAACACUGAGAGGCCCUUACUGAGGUUUAAGAAGUAACAAGACCAGGCCGGGCAUGGUGGCUCAUGCCUGUAAUCCCAGCACUUUCUGAGGCCGAAGCAGGAGGAUCACUUUCGGUCAGGAGUUCGAGACCAGCCUGGGCCACAUGGCAAAACUCCGUCUCUACUAAAAAGACAAAAAUUAGCACGGCAGGGUGGCACGCACCUGUAAUCCCAGCACUUUGGAGGCCGAGGUGGCGGAUCACUUGAGGUCAGGAGUUCAAGGCCAACAUGGUGAAACCCCAUCUCUACUAAAAAUGCAAAAAAUUAGCCGGGGGUGGUGACAUGUGCCUGUGUCAGAGGUGUUUGAACCAGAGUGACUCCCUCUUGAGUGAGGGCUAGGAAAAUGAGGCUGCCACUGCUGGGCCGCAUUCCCAGGAAGUUAGGUAUUCCUGGCCUCCAGAUGUUUAUGGUUAAGGGAACAGAUUGACGUUUAAUAAAUGCACCCAGACUUUGGUCUAUAGGAUUUCUAUAGGAUGAUUGGACUGUAAAUGAAUACGGUAGAUGUAUUCAUCUACAGUAGACUGUAGGUGAAUCAGAGUGUCCUGAUUCUGAUAUCUUGAGAACAAAAACAUUCCUAAUUUUGUUUUAAAGAUAAUAAUAUUGAUUCUUGCAAAAUAUAGUAUUUAAGAAAAUUAAUCCUUCAUCAGAAACCCUUGUAGCAGAACCCAUCUCCCCGUGAUCUGUUUUUAUCCUAUAUAUAAGUGAGUAUUGUACUUAGGGAGGACACGUUCCUCCUCGUACUUUUGGAAACACCCUGCUCUGUCUACGGGGUAGCCGUGCUUUCACCACUUUGCUUUCUUAAUAAACUUGCUUUUGCUUUGUGGAUUCGCCCUGAAUUCUUUCUUGUGUCAGAUCCAACUCUCUCGGGUCUUUAUUGGGACCCCUUUCCUGUAACACCUGUAGUCCCAGCUACUCAGGAGGCUGAGGCACAAGAAUCGCUCAAACCC
This 1804-nucleotide long non-coding RNA is filed under the name Macaca fascicularis (crab-eating macaque). RNAcentral's name for it is "lncRNA (ENSMFAG00000052490.1)". Lineage: Eukaryota; Metazoa; Chordata; Mammalia; Primates; Cercopithecidae. The record is from RNAcentral.